CUUCAAGUCUUACGCGGUGAAGAUGCGCGGCAGACUAAGAACUCCGAAUCGGCCUGACGCAGGAGCUCUACCUGACCUCAUGGCUCUCUGUAUAGCAUCCAGCAGGAAUUGGGUGACUACUGUGGACGGGCGGAACAUGAUAACGUCAUCACAUUUAGGUGACCCUCAUGGCUGACGUUGACUCAUAAGUGACUGGAUGAGAACUUCUAAUAUAAAGGCAUCGAUCUGAGCUUGAAUCUGGUGGCCUUGCCCCGUGGGCUGUAAUGCCUCCCUGGUUGAAAGUGGUUGUGCCCAGCCUAAAGUGGUCGUGUCCACCUGUGCAGACGGAACGUGCACAAACUGUGCCAUUGAACUCCCGUGAGUCAAAUCAACAUUGAUUGUGGACUGUCAUGGAAUGAAAUAAAACGCCUAAUACCAUUUUGAGAUUCUGUGUUAUUCAAUCUUGCAUUCAUGUUCAGUAAACUGAUGUUUGUAGCCACAAUAGUACACUGCUCAAAAAAUAAAGGGAACACUUAAACAACACAAUGUAACUCCAAGUCAAUCACACUUCUGUGAAA
This is a long non-coding RNA of Anarrhichthys ocellatus (wolf-eel), 557 nucleotides long. RefSeq lists it as uncharacterized. NCBI's taxonomy places the organism in Eukaryota, Metazoa, Chordata, Actinopteri, Perciformes, Anarhichadidae. The transcript has 6 exons. The record is from RefSeq and is a predicted model, not a curated record.